Molecule: long non-coding RNA, 858 nt
Organism: Polypterus senegalus (gray bichir)
Lineage: Eukaryota; Metazoa; Chordata; Cladistia; Polypteriformes; Polypteridae
Exons: 3
Source: RefSeq, a predicted model, not a curated record
CUCCUUCUAGCUAUAUACUUGAGCCAGGAGUCAGCAGCCAAGCAUUUUGUUUUUCUGGGAUCUUUCUUUAAGGAUCUCCAUAGCCAGACACUGGGAGAAAACUGACAUGCUUUGAUUGGAUGCUGACAUUGCAUUAUUUGCAGAAUUUUCAGAGAACACAGUCAACAGGAAUCAUUGAGUGUCACCUGCUGCCUCCUGACUCUCUUUCCCCAAUGUGAGAUGGUGGACUCCUUUUUAAGUCUGACUCUGGAAUGCAUUCGGUGCCACAGCAUUUCCGGAAGUACUUCCAAGAGGGUAGUAUGGAAACCAGGAGGUCCACCCCUAACAAUCUGGGACGCCUCUGGUAACCACUAGUCCAUAAUUCAUAUGAUUCUGGCUGGGAAAGUAGCUGUUUCCUCCUCCAGCCAGUGUGCUAUAUAGUCCUUCCACUCUGGCCUGCUGUCUGGGCAAUAAAUGAUGCCCUGCCCCAUCCAGGACGCCUUUCCUGCCUUUCAAGCACUUAAACAGUAUAUUCUUAAAGAACAAUGUCUGGUUUCACCUCCAUACUGUAAAAUAUAGAUUUGCAUUUUAAAUAAGGCAAGUCUGAGCGGAGCAGCGAGUGGAAGCACAGAGCGGAGCAGCGAGCAGAAGCACAGAGCGGCGGUGUGUUCCACAGGCACGUAGCCCUUCGCAAACAUCCGAGUAAGUUGAACUGAAGUAAAGCCAGCAGCUGACCAGGAGAAAUAUCUCUCAGUGAGAAAUCAAAGUUGAUCGCUCAGUGGGUGGUGGAAACUUAAAGCCGACAGUCUCUUAGUGAUUCAGCUGAACGCGGAAAGCGCCACCGAAGUUAUUACAAAAACAGAGAAGAUGAUAUCAACA